GACGAACGCUGGCGGCGUGCUUAACACAUGCAAGUCGAACGGAAAGGCCCUGCUUUUGUGGGGUGCUCGAGUGGCGAACGGGUGAGUAACACGUGAGUAACCUGCCCUUGACUUUGGGAUAACUUCAGGAAACUGGGGCUAAUACCGGAUAGUAGCUCCUGCUGCAUGGUGGGUGUUGGAAAGUUUCGGCGGUUGGGGAUGGACUCGCGGCUUAUCAGCUUGUUGGUGGGGUAGUGGCUUACCAAGGCUUUGACGGGUAGCCGGCCUGAGAGGGUGACCGGCCACAUUGGGACUGAGAUACGGCCCAGACUCAUAAGGGAGGCAGCAGUGGGGAAUAUUGCACAAUGGGCGGAAGCCUGAUGCAGCAACGCCGCGUGCGGGAUGACGGCCUUAGGGUUGUAAACCGCUUUCGCCUGUGACGAAGCGUGAGUGACGGUAAUGGGUAAAGAAGCACCGGCUAACUACGUG
RNAcentral lists this ribosomal RNA (468 nucleotides) under uncultured bacterium. RNAcentral's name for it is "partial 16S ribosomal RNA". It matches the Rfam family "Bacterial small subunit ribosomal RNA", at positions 28 to 507 of the family's 1533-position model. The record is from RNAcentral.